RNAcentral lists this ribosomal RNA (429 nucleotides) under Bacteroidota bacterium. RNAcentral describes it as "Bacteroidetes bacterium partial 16S ribosomal RNA". It matches the Rfam family "Bacterial small subunit ribosomal RNA", at positions 355 to 776 of the family's 1533-position model. Lineage: Bacteria; Pseudomonadati; Bacteroidota. The record is from RNAcentral.
UAGGGAAUCUUCCGCAAUGGACGCAAGUCUGACGGAGCAACGCCGCGUGAGUGAAGAAGGAUUUCGGUUCGUAAAACUCUGUUGUUAGAGAAGAACAGCGCAUAGAGUAACUGUUAUGCGUGUGACGGUAUCUAACCAGAAAGCCACGGCUAACUACGUGCCAGCAGCCGCGGUAAUACGUAGGUGGCAAGCGUUGUCCGGAUUUAUUGGGCGUAAAGCGAGCGCAGGCGGUCAAUUAAGUCUGAUGUGAAAGCCCCCGGCUCAACCGGGGAGGGUCAUUGGAAACUGGUUGACUUGAGUGCAGAAGAGGAGGGUGGAGUUCCAUGUGUAGCGGUGAAAUGCGUAGAUAUAUGGAGGAACACCGGUGGCGAAGGCGACUCUCUGGUCUGUAACUGACGCUGAGGUUCGAAAGCGUGGGUAGCAAACAGG